This is a long non-coding RNA of Ixodes scapularis (black-legged tick), 329 nucleotides long. RefSeq lists it as uncharacterized. NCBI's taxonomy places the organism in Eukaryota, Metazoa, Arthropoda, Arachnida, Ixodida, Ixodidae. The record is from RefSeq and is a predicted model, not a curated record. The transcript has 2 exons.
ACCUCGGAUACGGCGGCUACCCCGUGGCUGCUCCCUUGUCCUCUUACUACUCCACCGUCCACCGCACUCCAGUUGUUUCUACCCUCGGCUACGGUCAUGGACUUGGCUACGGCUAUGGUCUCGGUUAUGGCCACCGCCUUGGCUACGGCUAUGGUCUUUCCGGCUAUGGACUUGGCUACGGUUAUGGACUCGGCCAUCUUGGCUACGGUCGUUUCUACUAGAAGUAGUCCAGACAUCUGACAACACCGAAUCAGGAUCCUCUGGGCCUGCUCUCAACGCCACCUGCACUGACGUUGGACUGAAAUAAACAUAACACUCUUAUUCAUUUA